Molecule: non-coding RNA, 89 nt
Organism: Chaetomium sp. MPI-SDFR-AT-0129
Lineage: Eukaryota; Fungi; Ascomycota; Sordariomycetes; Sordariales; Chaetomiaceae
Source: the annotation of a GenBank genome assembly
GCGUGUUUGGCGUAGCGGCAUUGGGAGGAGCACUUCGCCGGUGCCGUCGUAAAUCGAAGUGGUCCCGGGUUCGAUUCCCGGGACCAGCG